UACGUAGGGUGCAAGCGUUGUCCGGAAUUAUUGGGCGUAAAGGGCUCGUAGGCGGUCCAUCACGUCGGGAGUGAAAAGCUGGGGCUUAACCCCAGUCCUGCUUCCGAUACGGGUGGACUAGAGGUAGGUAGGGGAGAACGGAAUUCCUGGUGUAGCGGUGAAAUGCGCAGAUAUCAGGAGGAACACCGGUGGCGAAGGCGGGUCUCUGGGCAGUAACUGACGCUGAGGAGCGAAAGCGUGGGGAGCGAACAGG
This 253-nucleotide ribosomal RNA is filed under the name uncultured bacterium. RNAcentral describes it as "partial 16S ribosomal RNA". It matches the Rfam family "Bacterial small subunit ribosomal RNA", at positions 524 to 776 of the family's 1533-position model. The record is from RNAcentral.